CAGGCUUAACACAUGCAAGUCGAGGGGCAGCAUGGUCUUAUCUUGCUAAGGCCGAUGGCGACCGGCGCACGGGUGAGUAACACGUAUCCAACCUGCCGUCUACUCUUGGACAGCCUUCUGAAGGGAAGAUUAAUACAAGAUGGCAUCAUGAGUCCGCAUGUUCACAUGAUUAAAGGUAUUCCGGUAGACGAUGGGGAUGCGUUCCAUUAGAUAGUAGGCGGGGUAACGGCCCACCUAGUCUUCGAUGGAUAGGGGUUCUGAGAGGAAGGUCCCCCACAUUGGAACUGAGACACGGUCCAAACUCCUACGGGAGGCAGCAGUAAGGAAUAUUGGUCAAUGGGCGAGAGCCUGAACCAGCCAAGUAGCGUGAAGGAUGACUGCCCUAUGGGUUGUAAACUUCUUUUAUAAAGGAAUAAAGUCGGGUAUGGAUACCCGUUUGCAUGUACUUUAUGAAUAAGGAUCGGCUAACUCCGUGCCAGCAGCCGCGGUAAUACGGAGGAUCCGAGCGUUAUCCGGAUUUAUUGGGUUUAAAGGGAGCGUAGAUGGAUGUUUAAGUCAGUUGUGAAAGUUUGCGGCUCAACCGUAAAAUUGCAGUUGAUACUGGAUAUCUUGAGUGCAGUUGAGGCAGGCGGAAUUCGUGGUGUAGCGGUGAAAUGCUUAGAUAUCACGAAGAACUCCGAUUGCGAAGGCAGCCUGCUAAGCUGCAACUGACAUUGAGGCUCGAAAGUGUGGGUAUCAAACAGGAUUAGAUACCCUGGUAGUCCACACGGUAAACGAUGAAUACUCGCUGUUUGCGAUAUACUGCAAGCGGCCAAGCGAAAGCGUUAAGUAUUCCACCUGGGGAGUACGCCGGCAACGGUGAAACUCAAAGGAAUUGACGGGGGCCCGCACAAGCGGAGGAACAUGUGGUUUAAUUCGAUGAUACGCGAGGAACCUUACCCGGGCUUAAAUUGCAGAUGAAUUACGGUGAAAGCCGUAAGCCGCAAGGCAUCUGUGAAGGUGCUGCAUGGUUGUCGUCAGCUCGUGCCGUGAGGUGUCGGCUUAAGUGCCAUAACGAGCGCAACCCUUGUUGUCAGUUACUAACAGGUUCCGCUGAGGACUCUGACAAGACUGCCAUCGUAAGAUGUGAGGAAGGUGGGGAUGACGUCAAAUCAGCACGGCCCUUACGUCCGGGGCUACACACGUGUUACAAUGGGGGGUACAGAGGGCCGCUACCACGCGAGUGGAUGCCAAUCCCCAAAACCUCUCUCAGUUCGGACUGGAGUCUGCAACCCGACUCCACGAAGCUGGAUUCGCUAGUAAUCGCGCAUCAGCCACGGCGCGGUGAAUACGUUCCCGGGCCUUGUACACACCGCCCGUCAAGCCAUGGGAGCCGGGGGUACCUGAAGUGCGUAACCGCGAGGAGCGCCCUAGGGUAAAACUGGUGACUGGGGC
Molecule: ribosomal RNA, 1434 nt
Filed under: uncultured organism
Description: 16S ribosomal RNA
Rfam family: Bacterial small subunit ribosomal RNA
Source: RNAcentral